GUCUUUAAGAUUUUUUUAAUUUAAAGUCUAAUCUGCCCAAUGAUGAUUUAUUUAAUGGCUGCAGAAUUUAUACUGUACAAAGGUAGCAUAAUAAUUUGUUUUUUAAUUAAAAACUUGAAUGAAAGAUUAAAUGAAAUAUAAACUGUUUCAAUUAAAUUUUACAUUAAAUUUUUUAUUUAAGUAAAAAAACUUAAAUAAAAUUUAAAGACGACAAGACCCUAUAGAAUUUUAUUUAUAAUUUAUUUUAUAAUUUUAUAAGAUUAUAAAUUUUAUUGGGGUAAUAAAAAAAUUAAAUUAAUUUUUUUUUAAAAUAACAUAAUUUAAUGAAUAAAAAAUCUUAAUUUUUAAAUUAAAAAAAUUAAUUACCUUAGGGAUAACAGCAUAAUUUUUUUUAAAAGAUCUUAUUAAUAAAAAAGAUUAU
This 421-nucleotide ribosomal RNA is filed under the name Braconinae sp. RNAcentral describes it as "partial 16S ribosomal RNA". Lineage: Eukaryota; Metazoa; Arthropoda; Insecta; Hymenoptera; Braconidae. The record is from RNAcentral.